Molecule: non-coding RNA, 93 nt
Organism: Roridomyces roridus
Lineage: Eukaryota; Fungi; Basidiomycota; Agaricomycetes; Agaricales; Mycenaceae
Source: the annotation of a GenBank genome assembly
UCUUGACUAGUAUAUCGGUUCAGUACACCCGCCUGUCAUCGGAACGACAUCUUGGUAACGCGGGAGAGCAGGGUUCGACUCCCUGGUCGAGAG